CUUUCAGUCUCCCAGGGCAUAGCAAGCAAAGCAAGGUAAGUUAUCUUGACACCCAGUCCUCGAGCAGCAGAUCUUUUGGGGAAUGAACAAAGUGCUCUGUAAAGCCAGCCUGGCUUAUCGUCAGAGUCAACUGUAUCCUUGAAAAGUACAGCUGGGGUUAGGGAAACUGCAGAGAACACUUCUGUUACACUGACGUGUGUCUCCAAGCAAAGGAAUCAUCAUAACUUCAGUUUCAGGAGAAGGUCAAAAAGAGAAUUUCCCAAAUGUAUCAACUGAAAUUCUCAGAAGCCCUGACAAGAAUGUGCUAAGUGAUUGAACACAGGAAAAACUCAAAGUCCUGUGAAAACAGUGCUGAGCAAGUAAUGCUUGGUCCUACUGUCCUGCCUAUCAGUCUGGACCACAUGGCAGCAGCCUUUGGCCACAUCUAUUUGGAGUUUGGGGAAACCAGUGAUCAGAAGCCAAGUCAAUGGAAGAUUUCUCCCAAUUUAGAAAAUUAUAGCAAAUACAUUGAUUAGCUAUUUAUGAAUUUUUCAAAUUGUGGUUGAGAGGCCUAAGCAUGGGAUUUGAAGACCAGUGACAAGAGGAACGCUGCUGUGCACAAUCUAAGCCACUACACCUCUUUCACCAUGGACUGAGGUAACAAAAGCAUCAUGUGGUCUAAAUUCAGCCAACUUUUAUAACCAACUUGGUAACACAUCCAGAUUGAAAUCUGGUGUCCCUGAAAUACCUGCAAGACUUUCUUCGAAUCCCAUGCUACGCCAUGAAGAGUGUUGCAGUCAAGCUUUUAACUCAGUCCUGUGGUCGCCAUGUGCUCAACAAACAGCAGAGGCAGAACAACCGGCCCUAACGCAGCGGGAGCGAUCCCUCCUUCGCAUUUGCCGUGACUAUAGCCAAGGUGCAGUGUUGAACACCGCGCGGUAGUGAGACUCGACAUUUCGACCUGACUUCCUGGCCCAAGCUGGCCACAGCAAUGCCAGCCAGGUCUGUGUCCAGGAGAGAAAAGCAAAUGAUGGUGAGUAUCCAUAGGUUUCUAAAGGAAGGCUUCCACUUUAUUUGAAGCUAGAGCAGCUCCAAGUUCCAGCAUCUGUUUUUAUGCUUUAAAUUACCCCAAGUAGUUUCUUCAUUUUCCAAAAUUGCACUUCCUUAAAAUGCUUCGUAUUACACUAUCACAUUUUACUGUGCAUUAAACAUCUGGUAUCAACAGCCUAAACAACGAAAAAGCAUGAUUAUGCUGUCAGACUUAAUAAUUCAGAAAUAUUAACCAGCUCUUAUACUAUCAGGAGUUUUUCAUGUGAAAUUGGCCCUUGAUGUGUAUUUUGCACUUAUGAGACUUUGCACAUACCAGCAUAAGAUAACAGUGUUCAAUCUUUCAUGUAACUAACAGAGUUAAUUUGCCUAAAUGAAAUCACUUUAUCAGCAAUACUCUUGCCCUGGAAAAACCAAGGGAUUAUCAUAGUUUGUUAAAACAUACCAAACUGCGAUCUAGAAAAUGGGGGCGGGAGGGACUUCUUCUGUGCAAUAAUAGAUUAGGAAAGCUAUUUAGCCUUAAGCAAACUUGAGAGCUAUGGAGGCUGAACCAUGUGGAAGGAGACCAUAAAGCUCCUUGCCUGUUCAGUAACCAAAUGACUGCUGCUUAGUUAGCUGUAAGCUUCAGUUUGAGACCUUUUGCUCCCAUAUUUAAUUAAAACAUCAUUGUCAUCUUCUGUGAGUACUGAGCUGUAAUAGUGCAGGCCCAUUCAAGAUCUGUUUCUUAAUUGGUCUUAAAUAGGUUAAUUGCAAUUCAAAGAACAAGUCAUUACCAGUGGGAUGCAAGUGUAUGAUGCAAUGGGACUGAGCAUGAGCUAUUGGCUGGAAUGCCUGAUGAACAGCAUAGCUAUUAUUUUAAGGUUAUGGUUGGAAACGUUUUUAUUACGUAGAUUUCUGGAAUUUCUUUCGCCAGCCACCUCCUCCUUCUUACCUUUGCUCUGUGGGAUCUACCCCCACAGCUGUUCCAAACUUCACAUCCACUGCUUGUGCGUCUCUGCAUUAACGAAAGGGCCGGGAACCUUCGGUGAAUGGCACACCACUGAUAAUGGGGGUUAUUUUAGGGACUUUUUUCUUCUCCUUAGUAAUCCUGAGUUACAUUCUCAGGACAACAAAAUGGAUGCAAUUCUGACUACCUGUGAAGUCUGACUGCCUACAGGAAACAGCUCUUAAACCCUCGUGGGGUCCCCAACGCAUCUGUAUGAGAGUGGUAUGAACAUGUACCCAGGAUUUAAUGGCACCGUCAUUACAUCACGAACACUUUCGUAAUCAAAGCACUUCACAGUGAUACCGCAAGCAUUUUCCAACUUGUCCAAUUGCACUGGAUUGAAUAACGCUCUGCAGCUUUGUUGCCCACUUUACCAAAAGACGCUAUUAAUAUAUUAAUGCUUCUGUAUGGUGGGCUCUUGAUGGACAGACUUUUCAGGUAGUCUCCUUAAAAUACUGUUGUAUAUGGAAAAUGUAUAGUUAUAUAAUCCUCCGAAAGUCAAAGUAGUUUAAGCAUUCAACUAGGUAGAUACAGACUUUGCAUGAAUGUUUUAAGGAAAGUUGCAUUUUUAAUCCUUUUACUGGCUUCUAGUCCUGUCAGGCACAUAGUAACAUCCCCUGGAAAUUGAACAGAGGAUAAUGUAAACCUCUUCAACAGGCAAUGAAACUACUGUCUUCCCCAAAUAACCUGAAGCACCAGAGUCUGGCAUGUUCCUUGGCAUAAGGAACGAAAACUUGCCUCCAUCUUUGCUCACCUCUGCUUCAACCUACAGGUCCGGGUGCAAUUGCACCACUUGCACACUCAAUGGCUAUGGUCCUGGGAAGCAGAACCAUAUUUCUUCUGUACAUCUCAGGGCUUUAUACUGCUGCCAGGAGUCCUGGCACUAUAUGAAGGCAUUUGCAAUAGCAAAGUGCACAGAAGGAUUCGGGGAAUCUCCAAUACAUUUAAGGCCAAGACUCUGCUGGGGUAUGGCUUUCUCAGAUAAGAAUUUGAGAUGGAAAGAGAGAAAGGUGUUCAAAUUGUGCAUUGUAAUUUCUGGGGAUGAAAGGCUUUCCCGUGGCUUUUGCAACAUUUCCUAAAGCUAUUUUCCUUUGGGCUGUUGUUCCUUAGCCAGAUGCCCUGAACAUAGAACACUGUGUCCCCAGCUUUGCUUUUAGCUUUGUGGUCAGUGUAGUCUCAGAAGAGCUUAGCUGUCAGCAGGAUUCAUAGAUGCAAAUUUGAUGCAACUGGGGGUUAAAUCAUGAAUUAUUUUCAAAAUUAGGACAAAGGUCUUAGUUCGCAUUGAAAAAUGAUAUCAAGGCAGCAGAGGACUUGUGUGCAAAAUCAUAUUUAGGAAGUCCCUGUCUCCUGAUAUCCUGGCUGGUACUUUGCUGGUUGGUACUAGCUCUAGACAAUAGAAUUUGCUGUCAAGAGCAGGCAAAUCUGUAUUCUUCCCCUUAUUCUUGCAUUUGGCAUAAUAAUUACCUAAAGAUCUUGUUUUCAAGGAGGUACAAAAAAGCACAUUUAACAUGCCUGAGAAAACACCCCAAGUAUGCAGGCAGUGGCAACGGAGCAGGUGGAUGGCAAAAAGAAGGUUAUUUUUAGGACUUUGCAAAACUGAAAUCUGAAGACUCAAAGCAUGGCACAUAGGUCACUGAACAGCUGUUAGACCAUGAGCACUCUCAGUCUGUAUUCAAAUCAGUGAGCUAGAGGUAAAAGAACAGAUUUUCACGUACUGCAUGUUCUCCUUCAACUGUUUUUGUUAAUGAAAUUUUACAAAUCGGAAAAAGUGACAGUGCACUCUGGGUGGGAUUCAAUCGACCACAUAAAGGUAUCUGCAGAAGAGACUCCAUGUAUGAGUUACUUGCCUUGACCCCUGUGUUAGCAGCAGGAGACAUACUCUUCCAAGACGUGAUUUAUACCAUCAUAAAGCAGAUAUCUAAAACAGGUCAGACAGAUACCUUCUCCUUCUCUCUGUUGACGACCAAAGAAGCCAAGGGAGAAAAUUUCAGACAUUCAAAUUUUUUGAGAUCAUAAACCCCUUAUACCGACGCUGAGAAAGUCAGAACAAGGAUCAAAUUUUUUAUACAUUAAUGUUCAGGGAAACACUAGGCAACAAAACCCAAACAGAAAAUUUUCACCAACUAAAUAGAGUCUUCACAGGUCCAUUUAGCUGAUGACAGUUAUUCCUGUGUGCAAUAUCAGGACUGAAAAGAUUACUUAGUCUCAAACUUUACAGAGAAGGUGUAGACAAAUAAACUACCAUUAGUCUUGAGUCUUUCUGCAGUGGGAGGAUCAACAGCCUCCAAAAGUAUCAUCAAAACAAGUGGUAGAAUUACUGCUGAUCACUACCCACAGGGGUUUAGGACACGUACAAGUCAUGGUUUGCAGGUAGAGAUAAUAUCUGCCAUCAGAACAGCUGAAGUAUUAAACAAGCUAGAAGCUUUUAGGCAUGCAAACCUUUUCUCAGCUCUAAAAAUUUGGCUUUUUCAAACAGAGAUGGGGAACUUCUGACCUAAAUACAAAUGGAGAACACUUGCCUAGUUGCAUAUUAUUCACUAACCUAAGGCCUCAUUUUAAUGUACAUUUAGCGGUACCCUAUUCUGUGAAUAAUCUUUCCCAUAUCAAUUGGUUAUUUUGAAAUAUGGUCCUUAUUAAUCAAGUCUGUGUGGCUAUUGGUCUCUUGCUGAUAAAUAACAAAAGUUUUUGAUCAUGUAUGAUACUUUAGUCACAUGAAAAGAACAAAAGCUUCACAUGUGAGGUUAGGAACAAACACAGAAAAAUACUAUAGUAAGUCGACUGUUGGGGCAAAUUGAAGAGUCAAGUAACUUGGACACAUCAGGAUCUAUGUGAAAGUCUUUUCUAUAUUUUUCCCACACUUCUGUUCAUAUUUCAUCAAUUUCCACUAUCCUCCAUUGACAGAGAUGAUUGAAACCUGCAUUACAGCUUGAUAAAUACCUCUUCUUAAAAAGAUCUCAAGACCAAUGUAACAUGACAGAAAACAAAUCCUUACACUUGAAAUCUAAACACCUUUCUCGUCCAAUUCUUCCAACUACCAUAAGCUAAAAAAAGAAAGAUGAGUCUGGGAUUUAAAAUAAUUUCUAUUAAUCAUGGAAUUUCACUCUUUUGAGACCAACAAAUUAUUUUCCCUUGAUAAUACUUGAAAUAUAGUAAAUAUUUGGAAAAAAACCCAAAAUCAGACAAACAAAGAUUUCCCUGCAGAAAUCCAAGGUUACCUGGCCUCAUUACCAAUCCUGAUUUGGCAGAUGUGGACUGUCUGUGUUGUCAGAAGGUAAAUACAAGGCAUUUUAUUAUUUUCAUUUGCCCUUUUCUGUUUAUCCCAAUUAUUUGAGAUGCUGGUAGCAUUUAAAAGAAAGUUGUGUAUUGCAAUACCUUCUUAUUCUGUGUUGUAUUACAUACAGCUGUAAUUUUGUGAUUUUACAAGCCAUUUACUUUCCUAUUGCUCUACAGAUUCUCUGAAUUUCUGAAUUAUUGUAUAUAUAAUUAUAAUUGUUAACUUAGAAACAAACCUAUGUGCACCAAGACAUAAGUUUUCCUGAAGGACUGGAAAAGAAUCGGUGGAGAAGACUCAACAGAAUAGGAAAGAUUUAUUGACACAUUUCCCAAAAGUAUGGCUUUGUAAGGCUCUGGCAAUGACUGUAAUAUGGAACUGAGAACAUCUGUUAUUGGAGGUGGAUGAUUUUCUGUCUACGCCUUGAUCCAUAUCAGGAUGUGAGCGCUGCAUCAGUUUCAUGUGAAAAAAACCCGUGAACAGCCAGGCAGGAGGACAGUGAUCUUUCACCAGAGACUUGUCCCUAAGCCAGUAGAAGUCAGCAAGAGGACCCUGAGGCAUGUUCGUAGUGCAACUCAAAAGCAGUCACUCUGCACGCAAAACAAAGAGGCUGUGCCCUUCGUGUGGGGAAAGGCAGCGACAACGCACUGUAACACCGAGACUCGCCAAGCUUUUCAUACAGCUCGUUCGAGCAGCAGGUAAACCACUGGCUACGCUCAUGGUUUGUCCUGAGAUACGGGAAGUAUUGCUACUUCCAUUUUACAGGUGAAGGCCCUGAGGCAGAGGUGUGACAAGCUGCUUGAAAUAAUGCAAUGAAUUAGUGUCAAAGGCAGGUUUAGGAGGCCCAUUUGGUAGUGCCUCAGCCCUGUUUCCAUUCUCCAGGACCCUGUUUCCUCAGAAGACCGUGGCUUUCCUGGUUCCUACAUAGCCACGGUUUGUUGAUUGUGUUAUUUUUUCCCAAAUAACGUUUAUGGAAGCUAAAAUAUCUCUGAGUUACUACUAUCAUAAUAGAUAUAUGAAAACCUAAAAACUGGGGAGCCAGUUCUAAAGGCUAUUUUGAUUUCAGUGAAAUAAAGACAUUAAUAAAAGAAUUUCAGGGCUAUAUCAGAAAUUCCUUUCAUAGGAAGAAAAGGAAAAAGCCCAGUAGUAACACGUGGAAACAUAAUCUUUUAUUUUUAGAAGAAUGGUAAUAUUUCUCCACAAGUAACACCUGAUUAAGCAAACUUAUUGAAUAAGGUCCAUUAUGUCUGCUUGAAAAAGCUAUAAGUUGAGACAUUUUAAGAUAAUCAGAUUGUAAAAGUGCACUAAAUUCUCACCAUUAAGCUACCUCACCUUCAUUGAAUCCUGAAUUCUCAUUACAACUAAUCAUAUUUCCAUGCAAAGUAAAAAUAAUUCAGGUACUUGAAACUGGGAUAUAUUCUGCUCUCAAUACUCAUGUACAUCUACUAGCGGUAAUGGCAGUUAGACACCAAGUGGCAAAUAUAUAUGUAUAUAUAUCCCAAGGUAUUUGCAGGGUGACAGGUACAGCGGGUAUUUUGGUGAGCAGACAAAACAGGAAGAAGCCUGUAUAUCCCAAACACCGGUUUAUCUUCAGACUGGAGAUUUUAGAGCAUUUAUUUAUCUCCAUUUGCAAUACAGCUUCGCUGAGGAUGGGAUUCAGCUCAUUUAAUCUAAGCCACCAAAAGUUAGAUACCUAAAUUUAAACUAGCUAUCUAGAAAUGUCUCUUUCUUUACACUAUCGAGGGAGCUGAGGCAGUGAUUUUAGGAGGGGUUGCGUAUGUCUGUCUCUCUUUAAAAGUGUUUAAAUUUUGAAAUAUAAAUGAGAUGAAGUACCUGAUAGCCUAGAUAGCCUUUAAAGAAAAUGUAAAAAUUUUUAUGUGGCUGCAUCUUCAUGUGAAGCAAUGGAAGUAAGAAUGGUGGUAGUCUCUAAUUUGCAAGUGAAAAUUAAGAACAUGGUUUGUUUGGUUGGUUUUUUUCCCAUUUCUGAAGGCUGAUACAGGAGAGAGGUAUAUUAUUUGGCAAAGUUAAGAGAUGAGAUGUACAGCAGCUAUAUAUGUAAGAGUUUGCAGCUGUGUAGCCUCUUUCUCUAGGUCUGCCCUCACCUGGAAUUAGUCAAUUACUUGAAAAUAGCAUUUAUUAUUAAUGUCCUUUUUGUGAACCAAAUCAUUUCGGUCACUUUAGCUGAUAUGUAAAGAAAGUCAGAUACAACAUUCUCAGCUGCUUUUAGCUCUUGAUUUCUUUGUCUCAUGUGAGACUUCUUAAAGGAGAUAUUCUUGAGGCUAAUCUCCAAAUUUGCUGAACUUCAAAGACAUGAUCUUAAUUUAGAAGUGAAUUCACAUUUCCACUUCAUCUAAGAUAUUUCUAAUAUUUUUCUGCUGGUUUCCCCACAAAAGGCUGAAGCUUGGUCCUGACAUGGGAUACAUAAUUUAUCUGCUGAAAGAAUCUCAUCAUCUGCUUAAGACUUUCCAAUGUUUUUACUUGUUCAUUUUGAAUGUUGAAUUCCUCAGUUAUAUUUUAGUGUGGGAUUUAGUUGACCAAUUCAUUUCAGCUGUCUCUGAAGAUUUUAUAUUCACAUGAUGCACAUCCGUCACUCAUGUUUAUUGUUUCUGGGAAACUAAAACUUUGCAAAUGGUGCUUUAGCACUUUCACAAAGGCUAACACAAUAAAACCCGCCUUGGUCUUACAGGGUGCUUUCAGGGGUGGAAUGCAGAAGUGAAGUUGUGAAGAUGACCAGCUCUCUCGGUGGUGUGCUUUUAUAGUCCAUGCUACUGUAAAUAGAGCUGCACUGUGUAGCCUUACAACUUCCAUGGUGGAGCCGACACAUUUAUUUUUUGGCUAAACAGAGACAUUUUUACCACUGAAAUGGAGCCUUCCUGUCCUGCAGCAUGGCUGAAAAGAAAGCCAAGCUGGUUAAAACCAAAACAACACAAUGAAAUGAAACAGCGUGCAGCUGCCUCCUCAGGAAUAUCCCUGCAAGGCAGACAAAUGGAUACGUUUAUUUUCCCAGAUUUAUUUGCUAAUGUAAAGAUCCCAGUGCAAGCAUUAGCACGUCAAAUCAUUAUAUAGUUCUGGGGCAAUCUUGGGAGGAGUUGAAUUUCAUUAAAACAAAUUAGUAAUUUGAGAUUGCAGUAACUGUAGAUAUAAUCUUGUUCCCAUAUAU
This is a long non-coding RNA of Grus americana (Whooping crane), 8442 nucleotides long. RefSeq lists it as uncharacterized. The transcript has 6 exons. The record is from RefSeq and is a predicted model, not a curated record. NCBI's taxonomy places the organism in Eukaryota, Metazoa, Chordata, Aves, Gruiformes, Gruidae.